CCUACGGGAGGCAGCAGUGGGGAAUAUUGCGCAAUGGGCGAAAGCCUGACGCAGCGACGCCGCGUGAGGGAUGAAGGUCUUCUGAUCGUAAACCUCUGUCAGCAGGGAAGAACGGUCACUGUGCUAAUCAGCAGUGAAUUGACGGUACCUGCAAAGGAAGCACCGGCUAACUCCGUGCCAGCAGCCGCGGUAAUACGGAGGGUGCGAGCGUUAAUCGGAAUUACUGGGCGUAAAGCGCUCGUAGGCGGUAUGUCAAGUCAAGGGUGAAAUCCCCGCGCUCAACGUGGGAACUGCCGUUGAAACUGGCAAACUGGAGUGUGUGAGAGGAUAGUGGAAUUCCAGGUGUAGGAGUGAAAUCCGUAGAUAUCUGGAGGAACAUCAGUGGCGAAGGCGACUAUCUGGAACAUAACUGACGCUGAGGAGCGAAAGCGUGGGUAGCAAACAGGAUUAGAUACCCUAGUAGUC
RNAcentral lists this ribosomal RNA (465 nucleotides) under uncultured bacterium. RNAcentral's name for it is "partial 16S ribosomal RNA". It matches the Rfam family "Bacterial small subunit ribosomal RNA", at positions 338 to 795 of the family's 1533-position model. The record is from RNAcentral.